GACGAACGCUGGCGGCGUGCUUAACACAUGCAAGUCGAACGGUGAACGCGGAUCUUGCUCCGGGGUGUUAGUGGCGCGCGGGUGUGAAACACGUGAGUAACCUCUCCCGGACAGUGGGAUAAGCGUUGGAAACAAGGUCUAAUAUCGGAUAGGAACAUGGAUAGCACGAUUUGUUAUGGAAAGUUUUUUCGGUGUGGGAUGGACGUGCGGCCCGUCAGCUUGUUGGUGAGGUAAUGGCUCACCAAGGCGUCGAUGGGUAGCCGGCCUGAGAGGGUGAGCGGCCAGGCUCGAACGGAGACGCGACCCAGCCGCAGGCGGGAGGCGGCACUGGAGGAUAGUAUACAAGGGACGAGAGCCUGAGGCAGAGACGGCGCUUGCGUGAUGACGAUCUUCGGGUUGUGAACCGAGUUGGGUAGGGAAGAAGGGCUACGAAUUGACGGUACCUACAGAAAAAGGGACGGCUAACUACGUG
Molecule: ribosomal RNA, 472 nt
Filed under: uncultured bacterium
Lineage: Bacteria
Description: partial 16S ribosomal RNA
Rfam family: Bacterial small subunit ribosomal RNA
Source: RNAcentral